UAGGGAAUCUUCGGCAAUGGACGAAAGUCUGACCGAGCAACGCCGCGUGAGUGAAGAAGGUUUUCGGAUCGUAAAACUCUGUUGUUAGAGAAGAACAAGGACGUUAGUAACUGAACGUCCCCUGACGGUAUCUAACCAGAAAGCCACGGCUAACUACGUGCCAGCAGCCGCGGUAAUACGUAGGUGGCAAGCGUUGUCCGGAUUUAUUGGGCGUAAAGCGAGCGCAGGCGGUUUCUUAAGUCUGAUGUGAAAGCCCCCGGCUCAACCGGGGAGGGUGAUUAGAACCUGGGAGACUUGAGUGCAGAAGAGGAGGGUGGAAUUCCAUGUGUAGCGGUGAAAUGCGUAGAUAUAUGGAGGAACACCAGUGGCGAAGGCGGCUCUCUGGUCUGUAACUGACGCUGAGGCUAGAAAGCGUGGGGAGCAAACAGG
RNAcentral lists this ribosomal RNA (429 nucleotides) under Gemmatimonadota bacterium. RNAcentral's name for it is "Gemmatimonadetes bacterium partial 16S ribosomal RNA". It matches the Rfam family "Bacterial small subunit ribosomal RNA", at positions 355 to 776 of the family's 1533-position model. The record is from RNAcentral. Lineage: Bacteria; Pseudomonadati; Gemmatimonadota.